GUGGGGAAAAUGCCCUCACCUAGAACUGGAAAGGAUGACAGUGCUGCCCUUGCAGGUGGCUGUGAGGAGCAGACCAGACAGUGCAAGCAGAGGACAGGGCCUCGUGAGCCCAGCCCAAGGCUCCUGCUGCCUUCCCAGAAGAGCGAGUCCCUCACACCAUGGGAACAAGGUCUCCAGGGACAGGUGACCUCUGUCUGGCCCUGCAGAGGAAGCACAGCCACUAGGGUGCUGAGCCGGUGCCCAGGAGCCCUCACACUGGAGCAGCCCAGAAUACAGCACGACCUCCCCCCGACUUUGCCGUUGAGCAACGUCUGUGUGCUUUGAGGUAAAACCUUCUCUGCCCAGGAUACCCCUGAAUGAUGAUGUCCCUGUGGACACAUUUGAUGUUACUUCUUCUCUGCUCUGGAUCCAGCCUGGCCAGACUGCCAGCUCUGGCUCUGUGAUGAACCCAUCCCCAGGUUCACCCAAGGCACCCCCAGGAUUAUGAACUACGAAACCCCGGGUGAUGGGUGGCCUCUGAUGGUUUGGACCUGGGAUGUCCCCAGAGGCCAUAUGUCUACAGAUUUUUCCCCCAGAGUGGUGCUAUUGUGAGGUUGUGGAACUUUUACAAUGUAGGGGCUGGGGGAGACCUUCAGGUCACCGGGGGCAUUGUCCUGAAAGGGCAAGAAAGCCCCUUUCUUUUCCUUUGGCUUCCGGACUAGGAAGUGAGCUCUUUUGCUCCACUGUGCACUUCUGCCAUGAGGAGAUGCCACCUGCUCAAGGCAAUAAGGAUGACUGGUCACAGACAGAAACCUCUAACACUCC
RNAcentral lists this long non-coding RNA (804 nucleotides) under Fukomys damarensis (Damara mole-rat). Its description in RNAcentral is "lncRNA (ENSFDAG00000024139.1)". The record is from RNAcentral. Lineage: Eukaryota; Metazoa; Chordata; Mammalia; Rodentia; Bathyergidae.